CUUUUUCUAAUCCAACGGUCCAAAUUCCAUCUUUCCAAAAUCCCUCAUCUUCCUCAACGCAAUCAUCGCUACCUCCUUCCCCUACUAGCCCCCAAAAUUAGCCCUCCAUUCUCCCUCAAAAAUAACUCCCUCCCUCUCUCUCUCCCAAUAUCAGAAAACAGAUCUACACCUUCCUCUUCCUCAAAUCUCUUUCUUCUUCUCUUCUUGAUCUUCUUCUUCUUCGACUUUCAACAAUGGCGGUUGCACCUUCAUCUCGAGAGGAGAGCAUCUACAUGGCCAAGCUCGCCGAGCAGGCC
RNAcentral lists this unclassified non-coding RNA (296 nucleotides) under Hevea brasiliensis (rubber tree). The record is from RNAcentral. Lineage: Eukaryota; Viridiplantae; Streptophyta; Magnoliopsida; Malpighiales; Euphorbiaceae.